This 861-nucleotide ribosomal RNA is filed under the name uncultured organism. Its description in RNAcentral is "bacterial SSU rRNA". It matches the Rfam family "Bacterial small subunit ribosomal RNA", at positions 560 to 1417 of the family's 1533-position model. The record is from RNAcentral.
GUAAAGAGAGCGUAGGCGGGAGAGUAAGUUAGGAGUGAAAUGCAUGGGCUUAACCCAUGGUCCGCUCUUAAUACUGCUUUCCUUGAGUGUAGGAGGGGAAAGCGGAAUUCCGGGUGUUAGCGGUGGAAUGCGUAGAUAUCCGGAAGAAUAUCAAUGGCGAAGGCUGCUUUCUGGCCUAUNACUGACGCUGAGGCUCUAAAGCUAGGGGAGCGAACAGGAUUAGAUACCCUGGUAGUCCUAGCCGUAAACGUUGGGCACUGGAUGUUGGAGGGUUUCCCUUCAGUGUCGUAGCUAACGCGAUAAGUGCCCCGCCUGGGGAGUACGCCCGCAAGGGUGAAACUCAAAGGAAUUGACGGGGGCCCGCACAAGCGGUGGAGCAUGUGCUUUAAUUCGAUGAUACGCGAGGAACCUUACCUGGGUUUGACAUGGGAGUGAAAGCCGCCAGAGAUGGUGGCCCUUCUCUUCGGAGAACGCUCCACACAGGUGCUGCAUGGUUGUCGUCAGCUCGUGUCGUGAGAUGUUGGGUUAAGUCCCAUAACGAGCGCAACCCUUGCCCUUAGUUGCCAGCGGUUCGGCCGGGCACUCUAAGGGGACUGCCUGGUAUUUCCAGGAGGAAGGGGAGGAUGACGUCAAAUCAUCAUGGCCCUUAAGCCCAGGGCUAGACACGUGCUACAAUGGCCGGUACAAAGGGAUGCAAUGCCGCGAGGCUGAGCAAAUCCCUAAAACCGGUCUCAGUUCGGAUUGGAGUCUGCAAUUCGACUCCAUGAAGUUGGAAUCGCUAGUAAUCGCGGAUCAGAAUGUCGCGGUGAAUAUGUUCCCGGGCCUCGUACACACCGCCCGUCAAGCCACGAAAGAGGACAA